This is a non-coding RNA of Pelobates cultripes (western spadefoot toad), 399 nucleotides long. NCBI's taxonomy places the organism in Eukaryota, Metazoa, Chordata, Amphibia, Anura, Pelobatidae. The record is from the annotation of a GenBank genome assembly.
CAACAAUCCCCCUCAUACAGAAGGGACACAAAGUCUUUUUUGCAGGAGAUGGAAAGUAUAGAAUGGCAGGGAAUGGCUGGAUGUUACCUCACUGUAUACCAUCAUUAGUCAUGAUUUGGUAUUGGAGUAAUCAAUUAUUUAUUUUUAUGAGAUCUCACAAAGUUUAAAGUUUUUUUUUUUUAAUGGGCAUUCGUUUCAUCCUAGAACACAAUUAAUUUUUCUUUGAGGGUUAUUUUUAUUUACAGAUUAGAAGUAAUGCCAUGGGUACCAGGUUUGCCCCCAGCUAUGCCAACACCUACAUGAGGAGGUGGGAAGACCUUUUUGUGUGGUUGGGGCAUGGCUGGAGGGACAACCUGGUCCUAUGGCGGCAUUAUAUUGAUGAUGUGAUUAUAAUUUGGA